AUUUACGCCCGCCCUCGCCGUCUCCUCCAGCUCCACCUUCACGCUCCCCCCUCCGAUCGCCGCCACCUUCGCCACCGUCAGCGUCUCCCCGCCCAGCCGCACCACCGCCUUCCGGUACUCUGCCACCAUCCUCUUCACCUCCUCCAGGUGGCUCCCGCGCAGUGACUCCGCCGCCGCUCCCCAGUUCAGCGGGUCGUACUCACCGCCGCAAGCAACGGAAGACUUCUCACCGGCGAUUUCCAUUCCAAGAGGGAGAGGGAGAGAGAGAGAGAGAGAGAGAGAGAGAGGCGAUCGUGUAAUGAAGAGGAAAUCUUGGGGUGCUUGGGGGAUGGACUUCCUGAGUUGAACGUUGGGUGCGGAGGUGUUUAAAUAGGGUGUGGGGGGUGGGCCCACUAUAUUUUAUUUUGGGAUUGGAUCAAGGGGCGUGGCAGGUAGGCCUAUGAGGCGGGGUUGGUCGUGUGGCUCUAGCUGACGUGUUGUUGAGGACGAAUGGUGGCCGUUCGAUGGGGUUCGUCGGAAUCCAACGAUGGAGGAGGGGUGACAUGCUUUUCAUGUGGGCUAUCUAUAAGAAAAAUGUUGAUAACCACAGCAAACUAGAGACGACGCAUUGCGGUGGGUCGAAGUUGUUCGUCAGUCAUCGAAAGGGUUUGCGGCUAUAACACCACUACGAUGAUGAUAGGCACUAUAGUCGGGUCAGAUGCGUGUAACAUUAAUUUUGCCUUUUCCUGUAUUGUUUGUUAUCUGAACAAAACUAUUUUUCAUUUUUUAAUUUCAAUUUGCAUUUGUAUAUAUGAAUUUGAAGUUUGAAUAAUUUGUAUUUGAAUUUUGAAUAAUUUAUGAAUGUUUUAGUAAAUCUGGUUUAA
Malania oleifera is the source of this 863-nucleotide long non-coding RNA. RefSeq lists it as uncharacterized. The record is from RefSeq and is a predicted model, not a curated record. The transcript has 3 exons. Lineage: Eukaryota; Viridiplantae; Streptophyta; Magnoliopsida; Santalales; Ximeniaceae.